UUCUCCCCCUCUCUGCUCCUCACCGAAAUCUCCUCCCCUACUCAGCUCCGAUUCAGACGACGCACAGCAAGGGUAUUGACGGCGCACCACCACUGGUAAGAACCUCCUUCCCCCUUUUGUAUUUCGUUUAUUUUUUAAAAAGAAAAAAAACCCUAAAACAUGAGAUAAGAAAACAGUAAAAAAAGAAAAUGAAAACACAAGAUUACCUUCCAAAAUUUUUUUUGUUUUUCUAUCUCUUUCUUUUGUAUUUUCCUUACUUUUUUCAAUACAAAAUCUCUAACCCCAGUACAAAAAUCGAUUGGCCUUUUAUAUCCAAAUCUUUUUUUACAAUUUGCUGUAUUUCAUUCACACCCACUGUUUGUGGCUUAUUGCAGGUGAAGAAGAACGUGGAAAUGGGCAUUGCAGGGUGUGCUGAUCGUGGGUGACUGCUGUAACGUGGGCAGUUGCGGCACUGUUGGGGCGAGGUUGCUGCAGCUACUGAUUUUGCUGCUAGCUGCUAGGGUUUCUAAAACUUUAAGCUAAUUGGGCCUUGUAAUUGGAUUAGGGUUGGCCCAAGUUUUAUUGGGUUUGAAAUUGUAUUUAGUUUGGGCCCCGGGCAAUAAUUGGAUAUUACAGCUGCCCCUCAUUUUGUAUUUUCCUUACUUUUUUCAAUACAAAAUCUCUAACCCCAGUACAAAAAUCGAUUGGCCUUUUAUAUCCAAAUCUUUUUUUACAAUUUGCUGUAUUUCAUUCACACCCACUGUUUGUGGCUUAUUGCAGGUGAAGAAGAACGUGGAAACGGGCAUUGCAGGGUGUGCUGAUCGUGGGUGACUGCUGUAACGUGGGCAGUUGCGGCACUGUUGGGGCGAGGUUGCUGCAGCUACUGAUUUUGCUGCUAGCUGCUAGGGUUUCUAAAACUUUAAGCUAAUUGGGCCUUGUAAUUGGAUUAGGGUUGGCCCAAGUUUUAUUGGGUUUGAAAUUGUAUUUAGUUUGGGCCCCGGGCAAUAAUUGGAUAUUACAGCUGCCCCUCUUUGCUCUUUGUCGUGUAACAGGAAUAGAGCAAAGACUUUAAAAUAGCCAAUUUUGCUCGGUCGUGCUGGACCUUGGCUCUUUUCUUCUUCAAGUAGCCUCAUUCUAACCUUCUGCGCUUUCAGAGGUAUAGGUAUUGGUGCUUCGAUCCACUCCACUGCAACGUCAGGGAGAUAGGAGUUGUAUCUUGUAGCUUCUCAAAAGAAUAAAAUUUACUAUCUUUAGUAUACUCCACUGCAACUUCAGGGAAAUAAGACUAGAUGCGAUCUGCUCUACUGCAACUUUAGAGAUAAGUCAGAUGCAAUCUGCUCUCUGCAACCUCAGAGAGAUAAGAUCUUAUUUUAAUCCGCUCCACUGUAACUUCAGGGAGAUAGGAUUAUUGGCUUUAAUCUGCUCCACUGUAACUUCAGGGAGAUAAGAUUUUCUUUCUUAGUCUGCUCCUCUGCAAUUGCAAGGAGAUAAGACUUGAUGCGAUCUGCUCUCUGCAACUUCAGAGAGAUAAGAUCUAUGGUUUUAAUCCGCUCCACUACAACUUCAGAGAGAUAGGUUUAUUUUCUUUAAUUUGUUUAACUGCAAUGUCAAGGAAACAAGAUUCGUCAUCGUGACUUCAAUCUGUUCCACUGUACCGCCAGAGAAGUAAGAUCCGCCAUUGUGGCUUCAAUCUUUUUAAUUGCAAUGUCGGGGGAACCAGAUCCGCUGUCGUAGCUUCAAUCUGUUCCACUACACCGCUAGGGAAGUAAGAUCUCCCGUUGUGGCUUCAAUCUUUUCCACUGUAAUGCUAAAGAGAUAGGAUCCUCUGCCUACAGCUUUAAUCCACUCCAUUUCAGCUAAUCCAAGCCUUAACACCAGGGAGAUAAGAUCCGCCAUCGUGGCUUCAAUCUGCUCCGCUGCGACGCCAGGGAAAUAAGAUCCACCGUUGUGGCUUCAAUCUUUUUAAUUGUAAUGUCAUGGCAAUAAGACUGGUAUCUUCGAUCUGCUUCGCCGCCAGUAUAGGAAGGCAAGACCUGUCAUCUUCAACCUACUCCACUACUACCCAGGGAGAUAAGGUUGAAGUUUUACCAGUUUGUUCUCUGGGGAACAUGAUCUGUAUAUUCAAAUCUAUGAACCUAAUUAUGCCUAGUGAUUAGGAUGUCAUGAUCAGAAUGAAUUAAAUGCUCCUAACUAGAUAUGUAUGAAUAAUAUUUGAAUAAAUGUAGAAUAUUUUGAGAAUGAUCCCGCUCAGGUUGUCAUUACUCAAAGUUUAUUAAGACCGUAUCACUGACGCACUACAACGUCCUCUUGCUCAGCUCGCAUCUCCAAAGAAAUGCUUGCAAACUUCAAAGUUCAAUCCACUGGGAUGUAACAUUUGUACCAUCUUUCUCCCGCUGUAACCCAAGGGUAGAAAAAUCUGGCCUUUUCUCAAUCCUCUCCUAUCGUAAUUCAAGGAUACAGAAUGUGAAGCUCUUUGGUCUUUUAUACCAAUCUCAAGGUGUCAUGCCACAUGCUUAUGCACAAAUGAAGGAUAUCCUUCUCCGCGGAAACCUCUUCUUAUCACAAGGUGAUCACUGCUUAUUUGUUCAAUGAAACUUUGUCACCAACACCCCAUCUUGUCAUUUUGUUCAAUCAAUGUUUUUGACAACAUAAUCCAAAGAGAUAGUCUUAAUUUAGACUCUUCCUUAUCAUAUUUCAACCUUUAAACUUGGUGCGUUCUAAAUAAUAAUCCUAUUUCAGGUUACUGUACUAUUUAGAAACUUCUAGAGUAAUAUGCAAAAACUUCCUUUGUGAAAGUUUUAUUGGUCCAUUAAUCAUUAUUCCAAUGCAACAUGCUUGCAAAAGAUUAUAACAAAGAUAAAAAUAGAAUUGAUUUUGGAGCAUAGCUCGAAAUGAAUAGAAUAUCAAGGAUAGUAAAAAUAAAAGAAGAAUGGAUUGGGAACACGUAUCUUGAAAAAGAAUGAAGUAUUCUAAGAACAAAAAAUUCAAUGAAAACUAGGUGCCCCAGAUACCGCAGCUUGAACUUCUCUGUACAAACUUACUGAAGACCAUUCUGAGUUUGACAUGUGUUUAGGAGAUCUACAGUACUCUGUCGAUGCCCCAAGAUGUCACAUACCUUUUCCUGCUAAUUCAGGUAUAGCAAGAUCACCGCAUGCCUCAUUCUAAUCAAUAUUUGAGCUGCUCUAAUCACCUCAUGCCCCAUUUUGAUCAAUAUUUGAGCCACCCUUUUUGAGUUUUCAACUCAAAUACACCUUUGGUCACAAAGCGCCCUUUGCGGGUUUUCGCCUUAGCCUCUCCUUUUUCUUUUCUUUUUUUCAUCAUUCUUAUUUUCCAAUUUUGAUUUUUUUAUUUUAAUUUUGAAUUUUUCUGAUUUUGAUUUUUUAAUUUUUUGAUUUUUUUGAUUUUGAUUUUUUUAAUUUUCCUUUGAUUGAAUUUGAACUCAUAGGAUUUAAGCAAGUCCUAGUUAUCCCUUUCGAUCAGAAUCAAUGUUUUUUCAGAUAAAGUCUUCUACAUAAGAUCUUCCACUUUCAUUUUGCACGCAAAAGAUCUUCUCAGGCUUCUCUUAUAAAGCCUUAUGAGAUGAAAAUCUUCAGAUCUUUCUCUUCAAUUAGAAUAAAAUCCAACAAAAAUGCGGAGAGAUGGCAACUCGACUUCAAUGGGCAAAGCUAUGAUAAGUCAAAGAGAAAGACAUUGCCCCAUUAAAGCAUCGUUCAUGAUGUUAACCUUGAACAAACUACAAAUUUUUGAUAUCGUACUGUUAUUCAGAUUACACUGUCUAUGCUUAACCCAAGCAUAUCCUGGUAUGACCAUGCGAAGACAUCUUUGAACUCUUGAGGUCACUCAAUAAAGUUUUGUUUUGUUUCUCCGGUUAUACACAUUCUCUUAAGGUCACAAUCUCUAUUGUCUCCUCAUGAGGUAAAAUUUAUUUCUCUCCCUACUCUACCAACCUCAACAAGUCCGGAGAUAGGCUACAAUCUAUGUCAUUUCCAAAGUCAUGAAAUCCUUCUAAACACACGUCUCGCUCAAAAGGGGAUUCUAAAUAUGUAGCAGCAUCACUCAUGUCAUUAAUAUCUGAAGACCUAUAGUGGGUACCAAAGAAUAUACAAAGAAUGUAUGAAUUCAUGAAUAGUUAUUUGUACAGUAUGAUUAUGAAUAGAUGAAUGAAUGAUUUGGAAGAAAAUCCAAAAGAAUGAAAGAAUCUAGAAUUAUUUGAAAAGAAUGAAAGAAUAUUGGCUCAAAAAUGAAUGCAAAGAUGUAUUCAAAGAAUAAAGACGUUCAGACAUGAGCCUAUUUCACAAAGGAAUUCUUAUUGCCUUUUGGCUAAAAGCAACAAGUGCGUUUUGAACAUUACUCUAAGUAAGCUCUAGAUACUACAGAGAUCUCUUCCACAGUUCAAUUAUUUUGCUCGCUCCCAGGUUUAUAAGGGCAGAUCUCUAACAAGGUCCCUCCUUCAGUUGUGUUUAUGGCAUUGAUAUGAAUAUUUUCUAACUUCCUCAUAGAUCACAUUCACCCCAUUAUCAACAUGAUUGGGUAGUGGAAUUUUUUGUACUGGAUGAAUUAUCAAACUUAACAACACCCAUGUUGAUGAGUCUUUCAACUAGCCUUUUAAAGGUAGUGCAAUUCUCUAUUGAGUACCCCGUAAUUCCCGAAUGGUAGUCGCAUUGUGCGUUUGCAUCAUACCAUUUGGGAUACGGAGGUUGCACAGGUUCUGAGUAGAAUGGAGAUACCACAUGUGCAUUAAAUAGCUUAUGAUACAACUCUCCAUAUAUCGUUGGGAUGGGUGUGAACUGGAGCUUCUCAGUACCUUGUUUCACACUUAAGUCUUGUCUUGAUGAACCCUACUGAUUAGCAACCACCUUUCUUGGCUGAUUCACCGUAAUUGAUUUACUGUAUGAAUUCACGCUGUUCACCUCAUUUUCUUUUUCUUUUGAAGCUUGCCUUCUGUUAUUUCCUCCAGCAUCAAUCUUUCCGCUCCUUAUGGCGCUUUCAAUCAUUUCACCAUUCAUGACUAUAUCAAAAAAGCUUUUUGUGGCACUUCCUAACAUAUAUGUGAUGAACGGGGCUUUCAAUGUAUUUAUAAAGAGCAUUGUCAUUUAUCUUUCCAAGAGCGGUGGCUGAACUUGGACGGCGAUCUCUCUCCACCUCUGUGCGUACUGUCUAAAACCUUCAUUUGACUCAUUCUCCAUGCUUUGCAAGGUAAUUCUAUCAGGAACCAUUUCUGCUACAUGACUGUAUUGCUUCAUAAAAGCCUGUGCCAAAUCUCUCCAAGAACUAAUCCUGGUACGGUUCAAUUGAUUGUACCAUUUAGACGCUACUCCUGCGAGGCUAUCCUGGAAGCAAUGUAUUAAUAGUUGAUCGUUAUUGACAUACCCAGUCAUUCGCCUACAAAACAUGGUGAUGUGGGCUUCAGGGCAACUGGUCCCGUUAUACUUCUCGAACUCUGGCAUUUUGAACUUGUAAGGGAACACCAAGUCUGGAGCCAAACUCAAAUCCUUAGCAUUAAUCCCACCAUAUCUCUCAGUGCUUUCCAUCGCCCCGAAUUUCUCUUCAAUCCAUUUCCAACUUUCCUCUAGUUGUUUUGGUAAUUCCUCUUUUGUUUUUCCUUUUUCGACCGCCUCUUCGAAGUCAAGGAUAAUAGGAUUGACAGGAUUAUUCACAGGGCUAGAGCCUGAUCCAGCUUGGAAAUUCAUUGACCUUGAAGCAUCAGCCUGAAACUGCUGAGGCCUAAUGGUGACAGAAGAUUUGCAUGGGUAUACUUCAGCUUGGGGCUGCACAUGUGGGGAAGUAAAGCCUGGAGGAUAUAGGGGUCCGCCAUCACCUUCCUCUUCGACAUUGGCCAUAAAGCUCUUUCCUUUAUCCUUUUAUUCAGUCAACAGUCGCGUUAACUGUGACAUCAUACUCCCUUGAGAUUCUACCAUUUUGUCCAUCAUUUUCUGCUGGAUCUUCUCAAACUGCUCUUGCAUUUGCUGCUGAAUUUGAUCCUGCAUUUCUUUUUGGAACUAUUCGAGCUUUUUCAAUUUUUGGUCCAUACUUUUUGAUUUCGCUCGUGUACCGUAACAAUGUUUGGUUUGCUGGUUGGUUUCCAGGUUAACUGAGAAAUGAUUUUAAUUGAUUAGGCUCUUUUAGUGGACUUUAAUGCGUAUGAUGUCAUGUAAUGCGAAUGCAUGAAAUGAAUGCAUAAAUAGAGGUUGAUUUUGAUUUAAUUCCAUUUAGAAAACUUUACUAGAAGAUAAAUUUCUUUACAUAAGGCGGAUAUAUUUAUACAACUUUGCCCUCAUACUCCAGGCAAAGACAUCUUCUCCGUCUUCAUCCGAAUGCUAAGAUAAACCUCACGAAUUUCCAAUGGAUGUCACUGCUAGCUCCUUCUGCUUGAUUCUGGUAGCAAUCCAUUGUCUACCUAUCCUCGCAAUUCUCAUUAGCUUCUUUAAGGAAGUUGGAAUGUUGAGAGCUCUUAGACAAUCAUCUUGAAUCCUCAGGCCACGAAGUAAAGUCACGUACUCUUCCAUCACCCUUCUUGUAUUUCUCGAAAUAUAUUCAGGCAGUCGUAUUAUUUUCCAUUUUAUCAAGAAAUUCGUAUUCCAUGAAAAGCUUUUUAAGUUAGUAAUCGAAUGUGAAUCAACACCUCUUUUCUAUAAUGAAAUGCCAUGCAAUCCAAAUGUCAUGCAGUUAAAACAAAACACAACAAGUUAGUAUCAGGUAUAAACAUUAAAUCCAAUACAAUAAAGAAAUAAUAAAAACUCCUAAUUAGGUAUCUACUAAGGUUCAAAGUAAUUCUACCUAGGGUGAGUUCCUAAGGUUCACUAUAUAAAGUUUGACUUCUAGAGUAUAGGUACCUGAACCAGCAGAUUCCUCAAUCCUCACCCAUUAUAGGCUCAUAUGGACCGAGUUCGGUUCAGGGGAAUACAUUUCCUUAUGGCUGCACGGAGAUGAAAAUCUCACGAAGCCACAGGUACGGAUGUAUCUCGAAAGUGAUCCACUAUCCUGCACGGAGGUGAAAACCUCACGAAGGAGUAGCUUCUCACUCCCAUUUAGAGGGGUAAAAUCGUCCAUGCAAUGCAAAAUGCAAAUACACUAACAAACUUAGACCAAUUAAGCAAACAUAUCUUGAUAAAAACCAAUGAAUGCAAAAGAGGAAAGCGUAAUUUAAAACAAAUUUGAAAUCUUUCCGACAAAAAGACAAAAACUAAUCAAUUUAUGGCUCAACUCUCUAAAGUGUCCCUAGUGGAGUCGCCAAGCUGUCGAAAUCAUUUUUUUGAAAACAAAAAUUUUUAGUUAUCGACUUUAAAAAAAAACAAAAAUUGGAGUCGCCACCGAUCCUUGAUUGAGGUGUGAUUGGCUCACCUUAAAAACGAUUUUGGUCUGCGAAAUUUGAGAAAACAGGUUUCGGGAGUCAGUUACGCACGAGGAAGGGUUAGCACCCUCGUAACGCCCAAAAAUCGGUACCAAAUUGAUUAUUUAAUGUCUUAGUGUCGAGGGUUAAAAAGAUUUUUUUUAAAAACUCAAAUGAUUAAAUUUGAAAAGGAUAAUCAAAUGUUCAAGUUAGAUAAAGAGAUCGAGAUCCAAUACGUUAGGGUACAAUUUCUCAAAAUCCCCGAACUUUGGAUAUCGCUUUUUAGCUUUUAAAGAAAAUCUUCAUUUCGAGAAAGUAAUAUGUUAUGCCCAAUAUGUUAGGACACCACAAAUUAAGUUCUCGAAAAUGAUUUUUAUACUUAUACACUUUAAAUAAAGAAUAUUCUCGGUUAUUUAGGAUUAAUAAAGAAAAUCAGAACCCAAUACGUUAGGGUUCAAUUUCCUCGAAAAUCUCGAAUAUCGAAUAUUGCACUAUUUUUUAGAAAUUCUUAUUUCGAGAUGACAAAACGUCAUGACCAGUAAGUUAGGACCCAACAUUUUUGAAAUCUCGAGAAUAAGCUUUUAUUUGAAAUAUGUACAAUUGUAAAAUAAAUACUUGGCCCUCUAAGUUCAUCGAAUAGAAUCGAAGCCUAGUAAGUUAGGACACAAUCUUUCUCGAAAAACGUGAAUGCCAAAUAUUUUAAAAUUUAAAAAAUAGAAUGAUUUUCAUGCUUCAAUAAAAAACGAACAUUUAAAAAAAAAAUACAAACAUAUUUUAAAACGCUAAAGAGAAUAGCACGAGCACAAUCCAAUAAAAGAUAAAAUAAAAUAAAAUAAAGUAACAUAAAAUAAAAACGAGUCAACUAAUGUAAAAAAAAACGAGUUGAACUUAAACUUUUGUAAUCAAAUGGGUAUAAAAAGAUAAGCAUUUUGCGAAAUAACAAAACCAUAAAAUACAUGAAAAAUUUAAUAUACAUAUGUAUGUGUAUGUACAUAAAAUAUGAGGAAUAUAUGUAGGUAUAUAUAUUUUAAAAUUAUGAAACAAAAAUAUAUAUAAGUAAAUAUAUUUAUAAAUACAUUUAUAAAAAUUAUAAUAUAUAGAAGUAUAUAAAAAUAUGCUUAUUUUAAGAUUUGCGCAUAUAUAUUUACAAAAUAUAUAAAUAAAUGUAUAAAUAUAAUAUAAAAAUGAACUAUGAAGAUAUGUGUAUAUAUAUAUGCAAGAAUAUGUAUGUGUAUAAAUAUAUAUAUAAAUGAAAUAUAUAUAUAUAUAAAUAUGUAUAUAUAUAAAAUAUAGAGAAUGUAUAUGCGUUAUAAAAUGUAAUGUAUAUAUAAAUCCAUGUAUAUAAAAGUUAUGAAAAAAUAAUACUAAUAAUAAGAUAUAUAUAUAAAAUAUGUACAUGUAUUUUCAAAAGUUUAAUAUAUAUUAUAAAAAAAAUAUGCGAAAUAAUAAUAAUAAUAAUAAUAAUAAUAAUAAUAAUAAUGAUAAUACUAUUGAAAUUAACUAAUUUAAUAGCAAUAAUAACAAAAAUGACUAAUUUAAACUUAAAACAGAAAUUUGGGGCAAAUUUGAAAUAAAUAAAAUGCAAAUGGCCCAAAUAGAAUACACAAUUAACAGUGGAUGACCCAAAGAGAAAUUUACCAAACCUCCCAAACACUGCACAGCAACAUGGACCGAAUUGAAACAAUAUUAAAAUAUGCAGUAAAAUUUAAAAGAAAUAAUAAAUUUAAUUUAAACACCCCAAAAGAAAAGGACCAAUCGCACAAAUGGCCCAUUUUGAACCCUAUAAAAUCCCAUUUUAAAACCCUAAAAGCAUUUCCCUUUUCAGCAACAGCAGCCCCAAGGACUGCUUUCUCCCCCUCUCUGCUCCUCACCGAAAUCUCCUCCCCUACUCAACUCCGAUUCAGACGACGCACAGUAAGGGUAUUGACGGCGCACCACCACUGGUAAGAACCUCCUUCCCCCUUUUGUGUUUAGUUUAUUUUUUAAAAAAGAAAAAAAAGCCCCUAAAACAUGAAAUAAGAAAACAAUAAAAAAAAGAAAAUGAAAACACAAGAUCACCUUCCAAAUUUUUUUUUGUUUUUCUGUCUCUUUCUUUUGUGUUUUUCUUACUUUUUUCAAUACAAAAUUUCUAACCCCAGUACAAAAAUCGAUUGGCCUUUUAUAUCCAAAUCCUUUUUUACAAUUUUCUGUAUUUCGUUCACACCCACUGUUUGUGGCUUAUUGCAGGUGAAGAUGAACGUGGAAACGGGCAUUGCAGGGUGUGCUGAUCGUGGGUGACUGCUGCGAUGUGGGCAGUUGCGGCACUGUUGGGGCGAGGUUGCUGCGGCUACUGAUUUUGCUGCUAGCUGCUAGGGUUUCUAAAACUUUAAGCUAAUUGGGCCUUGUAAUUGAUUAGGGUUGGCCCAAGUUUUAUUGGGUUUGAAAUUGUAUUUAGUUUGGGCCCCGGACAAUAAUUUGAUAUUACAAUAAUUAUGUUAAAAUAUGAUUAAAUUAUUUAUUAUUUAUAUUAAUAAUCUUAUUAAAAUUUAAUAUCAAUAACAAUAAUCAUCUACCUAAAAAAAAUUCGCUAAGGGUAUUCUAGUCAUUUUAGUUUUUUUUCCUUAUGUUAUUACACCUAUAUUCCAUUCAACCAAACACAAGAAUAUUAUUACGCCUCUAUUCCAUUCCAUUCAACCAAACAAAAGAAUUACCUAUUACUCCUUUAUUCUAUUACGCAUCUAUUCCAUUACACCUCUAUUUCAUUACAGCUCUAUUCCAUUACAGCGAACCAAAUGUACCCUUAGUAUUUUAACGGUUUUGGACUAGAAAAUAAAAUAAUAAGUCU
Molecule: long non-coding RNA, 10133 nt
Filed under: Gossypium barbadense (sea-island cotton)
Lineage: Eukaryota; Viridiplantae; Streptophyta; Magnoliopsida; Malvales; Malvaceae
Description: long non-coding RNA (GBAR_LNC018611)
Source: RNAcentral